Molecule: unclassified non-coding RNA, 619 nt
Filed under: Hevea brasiliensis (rubber tree)
Lineage: Eukaryota; Viridiplantae; Streptophyta; Magnoliopsida; Malpighiales; Euphorbiaceae
Source: RNAcentral
CAGAAAGUUGUCAAAGGCAAUCCUUAUCCCAGGAGCUAUUAUAAAUGCACAACCUCAGGCUGCAAAGUCCGUAAACAUGUUGAGAGAGCUGCAACAGACCCAAGAGCAGUUAUAACAACAUAUGAAGGCAAACAUAAUCAUGAUGUUCCUGCUGCUAAAGGGAGCAGCCAAGGCACAACCAGUAGUAACCCAACUGAUCUAAAACAACAAAAUGUAGAGAAGCAUGCCUUAGAUAAUAUGAGAGACUUUGGUACUAAUAAUCAACAACCUAUAGCACGGCUGCGGUUAAAAGAAGAGCAGAUAACAUAAUUUCCUUGAGUUAUCAUGAAAAGCAGGAUAACACAGACAUUUACUAUGAAUCAUGAACUUACUGUAAGAUAAGAGAGAAGUCAAUCUGGGCCUAACUUUCUUGGACCCAGUUAGAAGACACUACUGUUUUAUGUAAACAGGUUAGCGGGUAUAUUUCAUUGGAAUCCUGUUAUGUGCAUUCUUUUGUACAUUAUCUGGAAGUAAUGUUGCUUAUAGUUGUUAACAAAUCACAACUGUUUUUUUUAGGAAAAUAUCUGCAUUCUCAAAUGCAUAAUCCAAAUAAAACAGUUGUGAUUUGUUAACAACUAUA